UAGCAUCAUAGUGCUUUCCUCUGUGUGAUUGGCUUUAGAAGGGCAUGUAGCUACCAUCUGGAGAGAGA
RNAcentral lists this long non-coding RNA (68 nucleotides) under Fukomys damarensis (Damara mole-rat). Its description in RNAcentral is "lncRNA (ENSFDAG00000024241.1)". The record is from RNAcentral. Lineage: Eukaryota; Metazoa; Chordata; Mammalia; Rodentia; Bathyergidae.